RNAcentral lists this unclassified non-coding RNA (1459 nucleotides) under Hevea brasiliensis (rubber tree). The record is from RNAcentral. Lineage: Eukaryota; Viridiplantae; Streptophyta; Magnoliopsida; Malpighiales; Euphorbiaceae.
UUUUUUUUAUAAAAAAAAGAGAUUCUUCAAGAAAUUUAACAGGCAAGUUUCUCAAUAAACAUUGGUUCAGAUCAGCUUCAGCAUAGCAGCUUCUAUGGCCUCCAGAUAUCAUGGCUGCACGACAAAGCAACCAGAAUGGGGCAAAGUUAGAGUACUCUGCUUUACACUUGAAACAGUAGAAUGCCAGGUCAACAAUUUGAUCUUUGCUUAGACAAUCUUUUGAAUUACACAAGCUGCACGACAGCAGCCACUCGCAAGGUCCCAUUUUGGAGUAGUUCUGCAAGUUCAUCAAAAAGUAAAGCAGUACGCCAGCCCCAUCCCUUGGGAGCUUUUGGUAAAAGAGUACCACGUUGUUUAAAGCUUCCGAAUACCAUAACUUCUCUCUUUGAAGGACAAAUCAGCUGAUAGCGGGCAGUAACCUUCUCACGAGAGUCCACAUAGAUAUGAACCUUUCUAAGGGAGUCAGUAAUCUCUGCCUUGCGUCGGUGAAGAAAUAAUCCAAGAGUUCGGCGUCCUUGAGGAUCUUCAUCAUUAAAGGCCUGAACGCUAACCUUCCACAAAGAACCAGCAUAAAAAUAUUCUGGGGAAUGCUUGAUGACUUGGCCAUCACUGAGCCUAUGCACAUCCUCGAAUUCAACCCCAAAACGAAAUGGAGGGAAAUGGCUUAAAGGCGUUUUCAUAUCUAAAGAUAUAGAGGAACUGUUUGCAUUCUCCCAAUCAAUUCCAAUAGCAUGUUCUGGUGAGUCAAGCAUCUGGACAGCAACACCACUGGUACUUGUUGCUGAAAUGGAUGUUCCUGACAACCUACCUUGCAGUUCUGUCUCAUACCCUCUCUCCAUAUGCUCCCCAUGACCAUUAGUGGUGUUGCUCCCUCCUUGACUUAACCCAACAAGAGCCGUCAACCCAUCUCCUGAUAGGUCUCCAUUGUGAUCAGUUCUACUCUCUGAAUCUUCAUUAGCAAUAGAUUGCUGGCAAUUUCUAUUGCCCAUGCCAAAUGGCACACGGGAGAAGACAAAACGUGUUGGGGGCCAUGCUGCUGUUGGCACAAAUGUAGUUCCACGCCCAAUACCUGCAAGCCCAUCAAUAGGUCCCCUAACAUGCACUCGUACUGGCCUAAAAUGGCCAUUACCUUCACCUUGAGCAGAAUCAGCAACGUAUAUAUUCCCCAUGCUACCAGGAGAAUUAUUAUGAUCAUGGUCUUGCAUGUAGUAACCUGUUGUAUUAACCCCUUGAGAAAACCCAAAUGGUUGCCUGCAAGUGCAUGCCAUACUUGUGAAGCAGCAAACUUUACAUGUGUCAGCACCAAUUUCUUGCACCCUUUGGCUUAAAAGCAUCUGCAGCCAAAGACCAUCGUUCACAGCUUUGCAAGGAAAACCCAAUUCUUCAAGCUGCUUUCUUACAUUUAAAAGUGCCUCAAAAGACAUGUUAGAAUAUAAAAGUGAACCCCCUUCAAAUAUAU